CGUGCAGGCGGUUCGGUAAGUUGGGCGUGAAAUCUCCCGGCUCAACUGGGAGAGGUCGUCCAGUACUACCGGACUCGAGAGCAGUAGAGGAAGACGGAAUUCCCGGUGUAGUGGUGAAAUGCGUAGAUAUCGGGAGGAACACCAGUGGCGAAGGCGGUCUUCUGGACUGUUUCUGACGCUCAGACGCGAAAGCUAGGGUAGUAAACGGGAUUAGAGACCCCGGUAAUCCUAGCCGUAAACGAUGUGAACUUGGCGUCGGUGGCUUAAACACCAUCGGUGCCGCAGCUAACGCGAUAAGUUCACCGCCUGGGGACUACGAUCGCAAGAUUAAA
This 332-nucleotide ribosomal RNA is filed under the name uncultured bacterium. RNAcentral describes it as "bacterial SSU rRNA". It matches the Rfam family "Bacterial small subunit ribosomal RNA", at positions 568 to 898 of the family's 1533-position model. The record is from RNAcentral.